CUCCGGCCAAUCAGCUUACGGCUUGGGCGCUGGCGGGACUUCCCGCCUUGCCUUGCGCUGCUCGCGGGCACUGCGGCCCACGCCACACCCUCGAGGGACUCGCCUACGCCUUUUUAUUAAUUGGCAGAAGAGACGGAGGACAACUGGAUUCUCGUAUCCGCUUCUGCAUUCAAUCUACUGUGAUAUGCUGUUUUUUUUGAAGUGCGAAGAAAUUCUGGCCUCACUCAGAUUCGCCACUGAACAGUUUGUUAGUCGUUGGAGCACGGGCACAGACAGGACCAUCACUGUCCCUCCCAGGACCAGUCGCUGCGUCACCAGGGGAGCCCUGGUCACAGAGCAGCAGAAUCGGAGGACAGGAGGAUAAAUGAACUCAGCGCUCUGAACUGAAGGAGUGUGGGCACUAGCAGAGCAGAACUCUGAGAAGAUGCAAAGAGCACAGAGAGAGAGCCAGCAGGUUUCCCCUCUCAGAAGCCUUUCCUAGGAAUGUAAUUUUCACCGGUCAGUCUGGAAUUUCCUGGUCAACACCAGUGAGGAAAUCUCCCUGAUAGACAUCUGGCAUCCUCCAAAGGAAGAUGACUUUGCCUGAAGGAUUCGGUCCUUGUGAGAAUCACCGCCUUGCCCUCCUUCUACCUGAGAUUUACGGUAGGAACUGGCUCAUCUGGUUGAAGAGACCAGGAAGUCCCACGAUCUGCAUUGGCAAGCUGAAGAAGCAGGAAAGCUGAUGGGGUGAUUCAGUCUGAGGCUGAAGGCUGAUGCACUCAGGAAUGUACCCAGAAACAAUUUGCCAACUCUCUGGGCAUUCCUCUGCUAGUCAAGAUGCAGCUGGGAGCCCUGGGACGUGGCUCCCCAUCCUGUCACCUCCGCUCCGGACAUGUGGCCUGAUUGCUCUAGGCAGCUUGCCUCUGGAAGCACACAGUUCUAUCUCCACAGCUCAUCUUUUGUUCCUGCCAUGGGACCUGUGGCUUUUUGAGUUGAGAGACCAACAGCCUAGGAUACAGAUGCAUGAAUGCGGAAAAUCUUGACAGGGAGGCACUGGGCUGUGUUACAGCAGUGGCUGGAGAGCUCUUCUGGUUCUGGAGCCCACACUGUAUACUGGCGGUAUGAGGGCGUACAGCCCAGCUCUCCUGGCCUUCUCUUCCCAUGUGAUGAGGGUGCUGGUGGGCUCUAACAUCCACGGGGCCCAGGCUCGCUCUGAAGCUGAGGUGUCUGGGAGUUCGAAGGAUCACAGUUAGGUGCAUGGCUCCAACUCCUGCCUGCACAUCGAUGGCUCUUCAAUCUCUAUAUCUAGAACUUUCUCAGGUCUGAGCUUCAGUAUCUCAGAUAUAACUUCUAGACGUGGCCCUUGAGUGCCCCACGGGUUUUCAGAGUUGACGUGUUCAAAAUUGGACUCAUCAUCUUCUUUUCCCAAACUUGCCUCUCUUCCAUGUCCUCCGUCUCAGGUAGUGACAAUCAACCAUGACACAAUCCACCCAGUAACAAAGUGGGAAACCUGGAGCCCUGGGUGCCGGCCGUGCCUUUGACUCCUCAACACACCACACACACCACACCAUGUGCUAUGUCUACAGCCAAUGAGUCGCUAAUACCUAUCAAUUCUGCCUCUCAAGUACCUCUAACGUCAGGUCCCUCUUCUUCCCUCCCACUGCUGCUGAGCUUAGGUCCUUUGGGAUGGGGACAGAUACACUGGCCUCUCCAAGAGUUGUGACCACCUGUGUCAGGCAUCUGUACCUUGCUUAAGGCAAAAUACCUGCAGUUCUCAGCUCCUUAACUCUCUACCUGCCUGAAAAAACUUUUCUUUUGCUCUUCCCCUGGUGAAGUCUCACUCUUGUACCCUCCUCAAGGAGCCUUCCUUGACCUCCCCACCCUGUGCUAUGCUCCUUUCGUGCCUGCUCAUGACCCUUACCAUAGCCUCCACCGCCUGUCAGCUGUUUGUGUGGCGAGGGCAGGGGCUUGGCCGUCCAGCUUUGUGUGCUCAGCACAGUGCACAGAUCCUGGCAUGCUCUGCCUGUUAGAGCAAAUGCUGCUGAAGAAUCACACCUAAGAGCAUGACUUUGGGGAGAGGUGCCCAACAUGAACCCCCUCUGCUAUUCACAGAAUCAAAAAUGUGGCUGUCAAAGAUAAAGCCCAACCUUGUCGAUAAAAAUCCAACCGGUUCUUUACCUAUUCAGCCUUUGUGUAUUGAGCAUCUUCGCGAAGUCAGGUGCUCCUGCACAGAGCACUGAGAUUCCAAGAUGAAGGAAAUGCCACUCUGGACCCCCAAGGAGCUCAGAGGUCAGGGGUUAGAAAACCAAAGUAAGGGCAUUCUUGGCACCUAUGGGCAGGUGCCACAGCCUCAAGGUGGGUGAAUGCAUGAUCCCCUCUAGAGGAACUUGAUCCCAGACCCCAGGAUCACCAUCUGAGCCAAAGGCAGAUGCUCAACCACUGAGCUGCCCAGG
This is a long non-coding RNA of Canis lupus familiaris (dog), 2432 nucleotides long. RefSeq lists it as uncharacterized. NCBI's taxonomy places the organism in Eukaryota, Metazoa, Chordata, Mammalia, Carnivora, Canidae. The transcript has 7 exons. The record is from RefSeq and is a predicted model, not a curated record.